This 330-nucleotide ribosomal RNA is filed under the name uncultured eukaryote. RNAcentral describes it as "partial 18S ribosomal RNA". It matches the Rfam family "Eukaryotic small subunit ribosomal RNA", at positions 1470 to 1796 of the family's 1831-position model. The record is from RNAcentral.
CCCUUAGAUGUUCUGGGCCGCACGCGUGCUACACUGACGCAUUCAACGAGUCUAAAACCUGGUCUGAUAGGGCUGGGUAAUCUUUUGAAAGUGCAUCGUGAUUGGGAUAGAUGAUUGCAAUUCUUCAUCUUCAACGAGGAAUGCCUAGUAAACGCAAGUCAUCAGCUUGCAUUGAUUACGUCCCUGCCCUUUGUACACACCGCCCGUCGCUCCUACCGAUUGAAUGAUCCGAUGAAUACCAUGGAUUGAGAGUACGAAUAGGUUCGCUUAUUUCUGCUGCUCGAGAAGUGGAGUAAAUCUUAUCAUUUAGAGGAAGGAGAAGUCGUAACA